GGGGAUGACACGGAUUCGACGGGUGGUAACGGACGACAGACCGCGAGCCGAGCCUCCUGGUACGCUCGCCAAAACUGUCAGGAACCCGUAAAUGCGAACGAUUACUCGUACGCGAUGGCGGCGUAAACACGCCCCCAUCUGUCUCUAAGGUGCUCGGCUAUCGGCGCGUUUAGAGGCAUCGACUCAGGUAGCCUCUGGCCGCCCGGUGCUUCCGGCUGAAGCAUCGGCGGCGACGCGGGGCAACCCCCCGAACCAGCCUCGGCUUUCUUCUGGCCCCGUCUGCCGGCUAAAGAAGAAAGCGACGCUCAAAUAAGCGGACUAUGCUCGUAGACGUCUGAAUCGGACGGCCACGCGGACCCGGGUUCGACUCCCGGCAUCUCCACCU
RNAcentral lists this transfer-messenger RNA (385 nucleotides) under Salinibacteraceae. RNAcentral describes it as "QS-8-64-10 sp003023275 Standard tmRNA". It matches the Rfam family "transfer-messenger RNA". Rfam says of the family: Bacterial tmRNA, also known as 10Sa RNA or SsrA, is named for its dual tRNA and mRNA-like properties. Lineage: Bacteria; Pseudomonadati; Rhodothermota; Rhodothermia; Rhodothermales. The record is from RNAcentral. RNAcentral also lists the same sequence under 1 other name.